This 118-nucleotide unclassified non-coding RNA is filed under the name Yersinia enterocolitica (type O:2) str. YE3094/96. The record is from RNAcentral. Lineage: Bacteria; Pseudomonadati; Pseudomonadota; Gammaproteobacteria; Enterobacterales; Yersiniaceae.
GACAAGUGCAACAGAGAGCAAACCGCCGAUGGCCCACGCAAGUGGGAUCAGGUAAGGGUGAAAGGGUGCGGUAAGAGCGCACCGCGCGGCUGGCAACAGUCCGUGGCACGGUAAACUC